CUAGAUGUAGGUCCUGGUUGAAGUCUAUUAUAAGCUUUUAUAGAGCUCUAAUGGAAGCCUUAUCUCUUGUGAUAUGCUUUCUCUUACAGUAAAUGGAGCUUUCCGCUCUCGGCAUCUUCAAAGCAGAUUGUAAUGCUUUCUUAAUCUCAUUUUCUUCUAAUCUACUUUGCAGUGGUUUUCCUUUCCUCUCCGCCGCUGCGAUUAUGGCUUCUGUUGGACUCCCGAGCCAAAACCAUUUGUUCGGAUGAAGAUGACAGCCGCUGCAUCGGAGUUAGCACUCCAGCAUCCAAAAGAUUAAUAUUUCGGCAUUGUUGAGAUGUUAUCCCCUUAGUCUCCAAAGGGUCACGGAAUGAUGCUGAGGAAAAAGUAAGAGGUAAUGAAGGAGCCAUGUUCGCAUGUAACCUAAAGGUGGAAAAAAGCUUGAUCAAGAUGGGGCCAUGGGUGGUAGUACCUAAUGCCAAAUCACCUCAAAAGGAAUACGAGAAUCAUAUUGUCAUUGUAACUUAAUUCAAGCUCAGCCUUUACGUUGCGCUCUCUCAUUGCCACAAACUACAAACACAGACAUAAAAAACAGGGCUCCUUUGGUGGGGUGAGGGUAAAUAGUUACGAACUCAUACCCUAGGGAAAGACAUUUAACUUUUCAAUGUCCAUCAUAGACAUCAUCAUUUCGUGCCACCUUUGAUUCCUUUUGGGCACAUAAAAAAUGUAUACAAACCCUUUUUCUUAUACCUUUACUGUCUUCUUUACCUUCCACACUUUCAUAUAAUCCACCAUCCCAGUCAAACCUUUCAUUCAUUCCAUUACAUUCAAUCUAAAUUUUAUCUUUACAUUAAUUUUCCUCAUCUGCCUUUCAUGCAAGUAAAAUCCCUCUUCAGUUCUAUAUCAGAAUUUAUACUUCACAAAUCUCAUUUAUUGCUGCAUACUAUUUUUCCACUCUACUUCUAAACCCCACAGGCCUAUAUAGAGAAAAUUCCUAUUUAUGCUCUAUUUUAAAUUAUGGUCGCAAUUGCGGCUACGUUUCAAUUAGUAAAAUCGAGA
Molecule: long non-coding RNA, 1038 nt
Organism: Vigna umbellata (rice bean)
Lineage: Eukaryota; Viridiplantae; Streptophyta; Magnoliopsida; Fabales; Fabaceae
Source: RefSeq, a predicted model, not a curated record